RNAcentral lists this ribosomal RNA (253 nucleotides) under uncultured bacterium. RNAcentral describes it as "partial 16S ribosomal RNA". It matches the Rfam family "Bacterial small subunit ribosomal RNA", at positions 524 to 776 of the family's 1533-position model. The record is from RNAcentral.
UACGUAGGGUGCGAGCGUUGUCCGGAAUUACUGGGGGUAAAGAGCUCGUAGGUGGUUUGUCGCGUUGUCCGUGAAAACUCACAGCUUAACUGUGGGCGUGCGGGCGAUACGGGCAGACUGGAGUACUGCAGGGGAGACUGGGAUUCCUGGUGUAGCGGUGGAAUGCGCAGAUAUCAGGAGGAACACCGGUGGCGAAGGCGGGUCUCUGGGCAGUAACUGACGCUGAGGAGCGAAAGCGUGGGGAGCGAACAGG